AUCGAACGCUGGCGGCAGGCUUAACACAUGCAAGUCGAGCGGGCAUCCUUGUGGUGUCAGCGGCAGACGGGUGAGUAACGCGUGGGAACGUGCGCUUUGGUUCGGAAUAACUCAGGGAAACUUGAGCUAAUACCGGAUAUGUGCCAGAGCAGAAAGGUUUAUCUGCCGAAGGAUCGGCCCGCGUCUGAUUAGCUAGUUGGUGAGGUUAUGGCUCACCAAGGCUACGAUCAGUAGCUGGUCUGAGAGGAUGAUCAGCCACACCGGGACUGAGACACGGCCCAGACUCCUACGGGAAGCAGCAGUGGGGAAUAUUGGACAAUGGGGGCAACCCUGAUCCAGCCAUGCCGCGUGAGUGAUGACGGCCUUAGGGUUGGAAAGCUCUUUUCUCCGGUACGAUAAUGACGGUACCGGAGGAAUAAGCCCCGGCUAACUUCGUG
RNAcentral lists this ribosomal RNA (437 nucleotides) under uncultured bacterium. RNAcentral's name for it is "partial 16S ribosomal RNA". It matches the Rfam family "Bacterial small subunit ribosomal RNA", at positions 30 to 507 of the family's 1533-position model. The record is from RNAcentral.